GGGAGGUAGUGACAAUAAAUAACAAUACGGGGCUCUUUUGGGUCUCGUAAUUGGAAUGAGUACAAUUUAAAUCUCUUAACGAGGAACAAUUGGAGGGCAAGUCUGGUGCCAGCAGCCGCGGUAAUUCCAGCUCCAAUAGCGUAUAUUAAAGUUGUUGCAGUUAAAAAGCUCGUAGUUGAAUUUCGGGGUCAGUAGGUUGGUCGUGCCUAUGGUAUGUACUGGCUUUACUGAUUCCUCCUUCUUGAAGAACUGUAAUGUCAUUAAUUUGGUGUUGCAGGGAAACAGGACUGUUACUUUGAAAAAUUAGAGUGUUUAAAGCAGGCUAACGCUUGAAUACAUUAGCAUGGAAUAAUGAAAUAGGACGUUCGAUCCUAUUUUGUUGGUUUCUAGGAUUGACGUAAUGAUUAAUAGGGAUAGUUGGG
This 422-nucleotide ribosomal RNA is filed under the name uncultured Glomeraceae. RNAcentral's name for it is "SSU rRNA". It matches the Rfam family "Eukaryotic small subunit ribosomal RNA", at positions 459 to 886 of the family's 1831-position model. Lineage: Eukaryota; Fungi; Glomeromycota; Glomeromycetes; Glomerales; Glomeraceae. The record is from RNAcentral.